UACGUAGGGUGCGAGCGUUAAUCGGAAUUACUGGGCGUAAAGCGUGCGCAGGCGGUUCGUUGUGUCGGUGGUGAAAUCCCCGGGCUUAACCUGGGAAUGGCCAUGGAAACUGGCGAACUGGAGUGCGGCAGAGGGGGGUGGAAUUCCGCGUGUAGCAGUGAAAUGCGUAGAGAUGCGGAGGAACACCGAUGGCGAAGGCAGCCCCCUGGGCUAGCACUGACGCUCAGGCACGAAAGCGUGGGGAGCAAACAGGAUUAGAUACCCUGGUAGUCCACGCCCUAAACCAUGUCAACUGGGUGUUCGGGAAGCGAUUUCUGAGUACCGUAGCUAACGCGUGAAGUUGACCGCCUGGGGAGUACGGCCGCAAGGUUAAA
This 374-nucleotide ribosomal RNA is filed under the name uncultured bacterium. RNAcentral describes it as "bacterial SSU rRNA". It matches the Rfam family "Bacterial small subunit ribosomal RNA", at positions 524 to 898 of the family's 1533-position model. The record is from RNAcentral.